This 495-nucleotide ribosomal RNA is filed under the name uncultured bacterium. RNAcentral describes it as "partial 16S ribosomal RNA". It matches the Rfam family "Bacterial small subunit ribosomal RNA", at positions 28 to 507 of the family's 1533-position model. The record is from RNAcentral.
GACGAACGCUGGCGGCGUGCCUAAUACAUGCAAGUAGAACGCUGAAGGAGGAGCUUGCUUCUCUGGAUGAGUUGCGAACGGGUGAGUAACGCGUAGGUAACCUGCCUGGUAGCGGGGGAUAACUAUUGGAAACGAUAGCUAAUACCGCAUAAUAUUGACUAUUGCAUGAUAGUCAGUUGAAAGGUGCAACUGCACCACUACCAGAUGGACCUGCGUUGUAUUAGCUAGUUGGUGGGGUAACGGCUCACCAAGGCGACGAUACAUAGCCGACCUGAGAGGGUGAUCGGCCACACUGGGACUGAGACACGGCCCAGACUCCUGCGGGAGGCAGCAGUAGGGAAUCUUCGGCAAUGGACGGAAGUCUGACCGAGCAACGCCGCGUGAGUGAAGAAGGUUUUCGGAUCGUAAAGCUCUGUUGUAAGAGAAGAACGAGUGUGAGAGUGGAAAGCUCACACUGUGACGGUAGCUUACCAGAAAGGGACGGCUAACUACGUG